AAUGAGUACCGGCCAUCGGUUCUUAUCAAGUUUAAUAUAUCUAAUAUAUGGGCCAUCGGUCCACACGAUAUUAACUCAAUUUUUUAAGGGGGAGGUCCAUUAAGAUAGCUCGCUAUCUGGGUCUUUGCGUGUCGUUGUUGCGUUGCACUACUGCUCGGGCCAGGCGCACCUCAC
Molecule: small nuclear RNA, 174 nt
Filed under: Nicotiana attenuata
Lineage: Eukaryota; Viridiplantae; Streptophyta; Magnoliopsida; Solanales; Solanaceae
Description: snRNA U2
Rfam family: U2 spliceosomal RNA
About the family: U2 is a small nuclear RNA (snRNA) component of the spliceosome (involved in pre-mRNA splicing).
Source: Rfam by way of RNAcentral